This 2457-nucleotide unclassified non-coding RNA is filed under the name Ixodes scapularis (black-legged tick). RNAcentral's name for it is "phospholipase A1, transcript variant X1". The record is from RNAcentral. Lineage: Eukaryota; Metazoa; Arthropoda; Arachnida; Ixodida; Ixodidae.
GACGCAGAUGCCUCACCUCGCCUGAGAAAGGCUAAUAAAUUGGAGCUCAGCCGGUCGAGAGCGCCACACACCACGAAGCAUAGCAAGCUCGCGGACGUUCUUGGUGUGCCGCGGCGACGUCUGGCGCUUCACAUCGCAGCAACAUGGUCCUCAGCGUUUGUUUUCUGCUCGCUCUGAUGGUGUCCCAAACCUUGGGACGAGGGGUGGACAGCAAACUCUCGAAGGUCGUGGCGCAGGCUCUGGGCGAGAAAGCUCACGCGAAGGACUGCUGCCAGGGUCGCCAUCGGCUCACCGAGGCGGAACUCCAGUGGGGAAAAGAACUCGUCCAGAACGUUUACAUCGCCAGCGAAACUGUGAAGAGACUACCCAAGACGGCGUUCUACAGCGACGAAGAAGUCUGCUACGACGGCCUGGGAUGCUUCAGCCAGCUGGACGACUGCUCGCAUUCCAUCACGCUCCCUUCCAGCCCCGAGGAGGUGAAGACCAAGUUCGCGCUCUACGACCGCCAGCAGAGGGCGAACCCGGUCUACCUGGACUACCUGGACAACUCGACUUUGGACGUGGACAAGUUCAACGGGACCAAGGACCUGGUCUUCCUGGUGCACGGCUUCGGUGAGAGCGGCAACAGUUCCUGGAUACUGCAGAUGAAGGACGCCUUUCUUGACAUGGAAGAUGUGAACGUCGUGGCCGUAGACUGGGAGGAGGGCUGCCUACAGCCCAUGUACAUCACUGCCGCCGCCAACACGGCGCUUGUGGGCAGGCAGAUCUCGCGGCUGCUUCAACUCCUGACCGAAAGGCACCCGAGAACCGUGGUUCCGGCUCGGGUGCACGUGGUCGGAUUCAGUCUCGGAGCCCAGGUGGCGGGCUUCGCGGGAAGGCACUUCGGCAGGACAACCGAGACGAAGAUUGGACGGAUCUCUGCUCUCGAUGCGGCGGGUCCGUUGUUCGAGAGCUACAACUUCCACGUGUGCAAGGAAGACGCCAGGUUCGUGGACGCCAUCCACACGAGCGCGGGCAACGACCUGCUCAAGGGCAGCCUGGGCAUGGAGAAGCCCUUCGGCGACGCCAACUUCUACCCCAACGGAGGGAGGUCCCAACCCGGCUGCUGGUUCUUCGAUAUAGCGUGCCACCAUCGCCGUGCCGUGGAGUACUUCAUGGAAUCCAUCCAGUCGGCCAAGAGUUGCCGGUUCCGGGCGCACAAGUGUCCGGAAGGUCUGGACGCUUUCCUCAAGCGAAACUGCAGCGACUCCGGGGACGACCUUGGCGAGAUGGGCUACCACAGCCCGGACGCCAAAGGAAGGGGAGAGCAGUACCUGUGGACCAACGACGACUGUCCGUUCUGCUUGAGUUAGGACGACGAGGACGCUCUAAAGACAGCCGAGACGUCCGUCCCUCGUCACUUAGAUCCGCGUUCACACUGUACAUCGUACAACAGGCAGUCUCCAGACGCAGUCUGAGGAGCGUUCCUUUCUGCGUACGACGGCCCUGUCAGAUUUGUCGGACAAAAAGUUGUUUCCAGGCAUGUUCGAAGCAUGCAUACGUGUGAAGCCUUCGAACAUGCUUCAAGCAGAGAUAAUUCUGUCGUCGUGCCUGCAGCGAACACCCCGUAUUUUGCACUAAUUAUGUAUGAACAACAUGACUGCGUCUUCUAAGUUGUCGAUUUGUACAUAUUCACCUUCAUCAGGAUAGGCGCGUGUAUUUUUACGCCUGCACCCAAUGCAGAAAGCAAAUUUCACGGCAAGGCUCAUCACGAAAAAAAAAAAAAAAAGAAAAAAAAAGAGAAUGCAACAUACAUUUUGUAUUUUUUGUUCAUCCGCAUGCAACUUCAUCGUCACCACCCCUUCAUCAAUCACUCCGUCACCUCAUACCGACUAUUCCUUGUCUGCUAAAAAAAGGAGUUUUUUUUUCUCUCUUUUGCAAUCAUUUUUUUACUUCUUCCCUUCAGUUUUGUUUUCUUCUGACGAAAAGGCAAACAGCGCGCAGAAAACGGGGACAAGAGGAAGUGCAGACAGGACAAGCGCUGACUCUCAACUGAAAUUUAAUCACAAGGAAACAAAACAAAGAAAACAGCAACCCCGCCCACGUCACAUGACACAUUCACCACGUGUCCAAUGAAUGGAUGGAUGGACGCUAAUAGCUGUACCCUUUGUAAGGAGCGGUAGGUUGCGACACCAAGAAAUGGCAACCGCCAGUGCUACUCGAUAGGGUCUUGAAAAGAGCUCGUUGUUUCUAAAAAAAAGAAAAAAAUCGUCGACUCCAUUUUGAGAUCUAAGAUCGCAAUCUCUUCACGAUCAUCGUCCUGGCUGAUGCACGUUAAACCUGCCAUUAUCGCAGCUGUACUUUGAUAGAAACGUAUUUAUCUCCUACAGCGUAUGAAGCGGUGCCUUUUUUUUCAGUCAUAUGUGAACCAUUGAUGAAUUCAACUUUAUAAUAAAACACAAAGCCCAAGCUGCCUCA